Molecule: ribosomal RNA, 433 nt
Filed under: uncultured bacterium
Lineage: Bacteria
Description: bacterial SSU rRNA
Rfam family: Bacterial small subunit ribosomal RNA
Source: RNAcentral
GACGAACGCUGGCGGCGUGCCUAACACAUGCAAGUCGAACGGAAGUUAGAGCUUCGGUUUUAACUUUAGUGGCGAACGGGUGAGUAACGCGUGAGGAACCUGCCUUUCAGUGGGGGACAACAGUUGGAAACGACUGCUAAUACCGCAUGACACUUUUGGGAGACAUCUCCUGGAAGUCAAAGCUUUAUGUGCUGAAAGAUGGCCUCGCGUCUGAUUAGCUAGUUGGUGAGGUAACGGCUCACCAAGGCGACGAUCAGUAGCCGGUCUGAGAGGAUGAACGGCCACAUUGGGACUGAGAUACGGCCCAGACUCCUACGGGAGGCAGCAGUGGGGAAUAUUGGGCAAUGGGGGAAACCCUGACCCAGCAACGCCGCGUGAAGGAAGAAGGCCUUCGGGUUGUAAACUUCUUUUACCAGGGACGAAGGACGUGACG